This 601-nucleotide ribosomal RNA is filed under the name uncultured marine eukaryote. RNAcentral describes it as "SSU rRNA". It matches the Rfam family "Eukaryotic small subunit ribosomal RNA", at positions 1 to 598 of the family's 1831-position model. The record is from RNAcentral.
UACCUGGUUGAUCCUGCCAGUAGUCAUAUGCUUGUCUCAAAGAUUAAGCCAUGCAUGUCUAAGUAUAAGCACUCGUACUGUGAAACUGCGAAUGGCUCAUUAAAUCAGUUAUCGUUUAUUUGAUUGUACUUUACUACAUGGAUACCUGUGGUAAUUCUAGAGCUAAUACAUGCGAAAAAUCCCGACUUCUGGAAGGGAUGUAUUUAUUAGAUUAAAAACCAAUGCGUGCCCUCGGGCGCGUUUUCUUGGUGAUUCAUGAUAACUUUUCGAAUCGUAUGGCCUUGCGCCGGCGAUAUUUCAUUCAAAUUUCUGCCCUAUCAACUGUCGAUGGUAAGGUAGUGGCUUACCAUGGUUAUAACGGGUGACGGAGAAUUAGGGUUCGAUUCCGGAGAGGGAGCCUGAGAAACGGCUACCACAUCUAAGGAAGGCAGCAGGCUCGAAAAUUACCCAAUCCCGACUCGGGGAGGUAGUGACAAGAAAUAACGAUACGGGGUCUUAAUAGGUCUCGCAAUUGGAAUGAGUACAAUUUAAAUCCUUUAACGAGGAUCAAUUGGAGGGCAAGUCUGGUGCCAGCAGCCGCGGUAAUUCCAGCUCCAAUAGC